CCCUGCCCUUUGUACACACCGCCCGUCGCUACUACCGAUUGAAUGGCUUAGUGAGGUCUCCGGAUUGGCUUUGGGGAGCCGGCAACGGCACCCUAUUGCUGAGAAGCUGCUCAAACUUGGUCAUUUAGAGGAAGUAAAAGUCGUAACAAGG
Molecule: ribosomal RNA, 151 nt
Filed under: Tricholoma virgatum
Lineage: Eukaryota; Fungi; Basidiomycota; Agaricomycetes; Agaricales; Tricholomataceae
Description: partial small subunit ribosomal RNA
Rfam family: Eukaryotic small subunit ribosomal RNA
Source: RNAcentral